UACUCUCAGUGUCUGCCCCA
Molecule: non-coding RNA, 20 nt
Filed under: Mus musculus (house mouse)
Lineage: Eukaryota; Metazoa; Chordata; Mammalia; Rodentia; Muridae
Source: RNAcentral